UACGUAGGGACCAAGCGUUUGUCCGGAAUCAUUGGGCGUAAAGAGCGUGUAGGCGGCUUGUUAAGUCUUGCGUGAAAUCUCGGGGCUCAACCCCGAGCGGUCGUGAGAAACUGGCAGGCUAGAGUGCGGGAGAGGAGAGUGGAAUUCCUGGUGUAGCGGUGAAAUGCGCAGAUAUCAGGAAGAACACCCGUGGCGAAGGCGGCUCUCUGGAACGCAACUGACGCUGAGACGCGAAAGCGUGGGGAGCAAACAGG
This 254-nucleotide ribosomal RNA is filed under the name uncultured bacterium. RNAcentral's name for it is "partial 16S ribosomal RNA". It matches the Rfam family "Bacterial small subunit ribosomal RNA", at positions 524 to 776 of the family's 1533-position model. The record is from RNAcentral.